This 196-nucleotide unclassified non-coding RNA is filed under the name uncultured fungus. RNAcentral describes it as "sequence contains ITS1". The record is from RNAcentral. Lineage: Eukaryota; Fungi.
GUUUCUCAUUGACUUUUUUUUAUUUGGUUUCAGAAGAAUUAAGAUAAUAGUUGUGCGUCCAUGGGCGGACCGCAAAGCGGACCCUUGAACAGUUCACAAGGUGGAACGUCAGACCGCCCGGAUCCCGGCGAACCGGUCACCAGGGGCCCAAACAUUUUAAUUGGUAAUGAUCCAACCGCAGGUUCACCUACGGUUA